Non-coding RNA from Labrus bergylta (ballan wrasse), 623 nucleotides. Lineage: Eukaryota; Metazoa; Chordata; Actinopteri; Labriformes; Labridae. The record is from RefSeq and is a predicted model, not a curated record.
UAUUUUUGACAUACUCUUGCUGUAUUUCCUGAUUUACUUUGUUGUUAAUUUUAUCCCCUUUGCUUACCCUCAGGUUCAGUAACUGUACAUAUGUUUUCCAUUGUUGUUGUAUGUUUUCUCUUCGUUGUUUUAUAGUUUCUUGUACGUUUGUCGUGUUAUAUGUUCCUACUCUUAGCCUGCACCUUGUCGUGGUGAGUGGGCUUUCAACCAAGACAGGCCGUACUAAAUGUUUAAAACCAGUGUUAUUAACUUAUUUUCUCUCUCAUGUAGUACGAUGUAGGACACUAGGGAGUGUCAUGGCUGUCUUUCUGUGGGCGCGAUGAUCCAAUUAACACUCUGUGGCUGAAAGAUUGCUGUUCAUUCCAUCUAACUCCUCAGACGUGCACACCUACUCUCCAUCAACUCAUCAACUCAACAGUAUAUAUACCCCGGCUCUCAAUCCACUCGCCAGAUCGUUCUUUCAGCUACGGUUCACCCACCUGCCUUCUUGGAUUCAAAGCCUCUCAAUCAACCAGGCUCACAUCGCAACUCUGCUCUGAUCAGCCGUCUCCCUUUCACUCUGCAGACCUUGUGAAUCAUCGUCUCAUCUCCCUUCCUCUGCAAUAAACCUCAUUACAAGUCAA